CACGUAGGCACCAAGCGUUGUCCGGAUUUAUUGGGCGUAAAGAGCUCGUAGGCGGUUCGGUAAGUCGGGUGUGAAAACUUUGGGCUUAACCCAAAGCGUGCAUCUGAUACUGCUGUGACUAGAGUUCGGUAGGGGAGUGGGGAAUUCCUAGUGUAACGGUGAAAUGCGCAGAUAUUAGGAGGAACACCGGUGGCGAAGGCGCCACUCUGGGCCGAAACUGACGCUGAGGAGCGAAAGCGUGGGUAGCAAACAGG
Molecule: ribosomal RNA, 254 nt
Filed under: uncultured bacterium
Lineage: Bacteria
Description: partial 16S ribosomal RNA
Rfam family: Bacterial small subunit ribosomal RNA
Source: RNAcentral